GAUGAACGCUGGCGGCGUGCCUAAUACAUGCAAGUCGAGCGAACAGACGAGAAGCUUGCGCCUCUGACGUUAGCGGCGGACGGGUGAGUAACACGUGGAUAACCUACCUAUAAGACUGGGAUAACUUCGGGAAACCGGAGCUAAUACCGGAUAAUAUAUUGAACCGCAGGGUUCAAUAGAGAAUGACGGUUUUGCUGUCACUUAUAGAUGAUUCCGGGCCGCAUUAGCUAGUUGGUAAGGUAACGGCUUACCAAGGCAACGAUGCGUAGCCGACCUGAGAGGGUGAUCAGCCACACUGGAACUGAGACACGGUCCAGACUCCUACGGGAGGCAGCAGUAGGGAAUAUUGCGCAAUGGGCGAAAGCCUGACGGAGCAAUGCCGCGUGAGUGAAGAAGGUCUUCGGAUCGUAAAGCUCUGUUAUUAGGGAAGAAAAAAUGUGUAAGUAACUAUCCACGUCCUGACGGUACCUAAUGAAAAAGCAACGGCUAACUACGUG
This 497-nucleotide ribosomal RNA is filed under the name uncultured bacterium. RNAcentral describes it as "partial 16S ribosomal RNA". It matches the Rfam family "Bacterial small subunit ribosomal RNA", at positions 28 to 507 of the family's 1533-position model. The record is from RNAcentral.